RNAcentral lists this ribosomal RNA (490 nucleotides) under uncultured bacterium. RNAcentral's name for it is "partial 16S ribosomal RNA". It matches the Rfam family "Bacterial small subunit ribosomal RNA", at positions 30 to 507 of the family's 1533-position model. The record is from RNAcentral.
AUUGAACGCUGGCGGCAGGCCUAACACAUGCAAGUCGAACGGUAACAGGAAGAAGCUUGCUUCUUUGCUGACGAGUGGCGGACGGGUGAGUAGUGUCUGGGAAACUGCCUGAUGGAGGGGGAUAACUACUGGAAACGGUAGCUAAUACCGCAUAACGUCGCAAGACCAAAGAGGGGGACCUUCGGGCCUCUUGCCAUCGGAUGUGCCCAGAUGGGAUUAGCUAGUAGGUGGGGUAACGGCUCACCUAGGCGACGAUCCCUAGCUGGUCUGAGAGGAUGACCAGCCACACUGGAACUGAGACACGGUCCAGACUCCUACGGGAGGCAGCAGUGGGGAAUAUUGCACAAUGGGCGCAAGCCUGAUGCAGCCAUGCCGCGUGUAUGAAGAAGGCCUUCGGGUUGUAAAGUACUUUCAGCGGGGAGGAAGGGAGUAAAGUUAAUACCUUUGCUCAUUGACGUUACCCGCAGAAGAAGCACCGGCUAACUCCGUG